RNAcentral lists this small RNA (579 nucleotides) under Pan troglodytes (chimpanzee). Its description in RNAcentral is "retained intron". Lineage: Eukaryota; Metazoa; Chordata; Mammalia; Primates; Hominidae. The record is from RNAcentral.
AGACUGGAGCUUCAGCCCCCCACGAAGGCUGCUUGCACCCAUGCUCCAGCAGCAGAGGGGGUGGAGAAAGAGAAUCCACCGCUGGCAGGAUAUGUCCCUACUGGCUUAACUGUAGCCACACAGACCAGGGGGUGUCCUGUUACGAGACAGGGGAUGCCCCAGCACCCAAGGCCUAUGCAGUCAGCUGCAGGAAGGGGGUCUGCUCCCACCAGCCGGCCUCCUGGCUGAGUUACCAGUCGUGGUGGGGCCUCCUGGAGGAAGCAGCUGCUGACAGCCCACCCAGACACCAGGCCCUCCCCUGUGGGGUCUGCUCCCCAAAGGCCUGGAAGCCUGGGCUCUCUCCCGCAGGGGCCCACAGCCUCACGACCACAGGGGCCCUGGCGGGGAGCCCCAGGAGCCAAACGCCACACUGGCCCUUCUCUCCCACAGCCCUGUCAGACCCUGCUGCCAAGGAAAACUGCAUGAUGCACCUGCUCCGCUCCCUGCCCGACCCCAACCUCAUCACCUUCCUCUUCCUGCUGGAACACUUGAAAAGGGUUGCCGAGAAGGAGCCCAUCAACAAAAUGUCACUUCACAACC